GAUCUUUGUCUUCUUGGUGUGCAU
This 24-nucleotide small RNA is filed under the name Arabidopsis thaliana (thale cress). RNAcentral describes it as "ATSL140400". Lineage: Eukaryota; Viridiplantae; Streptophyta; Magnoliopsida; Brassicales; Brassicaceae. The record is from RNAcentral.